GACUGGGGAGGGCCGGGUGAAUCUCUGUGUUUGAGGAGCUGAGAGGCAACACUCUGGGUGGAAAAAAGGCUCAGAGACUUGUUUGGAAGCUGCAUUUGCAGAGUAAAGCACUUUUUGAUAUAUGCAUCUAGUGUGGCCUGGAGCAAUGCUGAUAGAGAUUGUGAGGUAUACUUGAGGCCAACAACAAGGAACACAUAAUCUGGUCUCAGGAAACAUUUUGCAUCAUCUGGUAAAGGGAUUUCUGCCUCAUCAGAUUACAGACUACAUGUGAAGCCUUGAAGAUAGCUCCAAGGAGAUGCGUGAGCACAAGGCAGUGUCCUCACAGUGAGCUAGGAAGAGGCUUGCGCUGUCACUGCCAGUCCCU
RNAcentral lists this long non-coding RNA (364 nucleotides) under Pan troglodytes (chimpanzee). Its description in RNAcentral is "long non-coding RNA NONPTRT001229". Lineage: Eukaryota; Metazoa; Chordata; Mammalia; Primates; Hominidae. The record is from RNAcentral.